GACAGAGGUGGCGAGCGUUGUUCGGAUUUAUUGGGCGUAAAGCGCACGCAGGCGGUUUGGUAAGUCAGGGGUGAAAGCUCACAGCUUAACUGUGAUAUUGCCUUUGAUACUGCCUUUCUUGAGUGCAUGAGGGGGAAGCGGAAUUCCGAGUGUAGAGGUGAAAUUCGUAGAUAUUCGGAGGAACACCGGUGGCGAAGGCGGCUUCCUGGCAUGUAACUGACGCUCAUGUGCGAAAGCGUGGGGAGCAAACAGG
Molecule: ribosomal RNA, 253 nt
Filed under: uncultured bacterium
Lineage: Bacteria
Description: partial 16S ribosomal RNA
Rfam family: Bacterial small subunit ribosomal RNA
Source: RNAcentral